Molecule: transfer RNA, 72 nt
Filed under: Sphaerodactylus townsendi
Lineage: Eukaryota; Metazoa; Chordata; Lepidosauria; Squamata; Sphaerodactylidae
Description: tRNA-Ala
Source: RNAcentral
AGGGCUGUGGCUCGGUGGCAAAGCAUCUGCCUUGCAUGCGCAAGGUCCCCGGUUCAAUCCCCAGCGUCUCUG